RNAcentral lists this ribosomal RNA (443 nucleotides) under uncultured bacterium. RNAcentral describes it as "partial 16S ribosomal RNA". It matches the Rfam family "Bacterial small subunit ribosomal RNA", at positions 338 to 795 of the family's 1533-position model. The record is from RNAcentral.
CCUACGGGAGGCUGCAGUGGGGAAUAUUGGGCAAUGGGCGCAAGCCUGACCCAGCAACGCCGCGUGAAGGAAGAAGGCUUUCGGGUUGUAAACUUCUUUUUUCAGGGACGAAGCAAGUGACGGUACCUGAGGAAUAAGCCACGGCUAACUACGUGCCAGCAGCCGCGGUAAUACGGAGGUGGCAAGCGUUAUCCGGAUUUACUGGGUGUAAAGGUAGUGUAGGCGGGACUGCAAGUCAGAGGUGAAAACCACGGGCUCAACCUGUGGCCUGCAUUUGAAACUGUAGUGCUUGAGUACUGGAGAGGUAGACGGAAUGCCUAGUGUAGCGGUGAAAUGCGUAGAUAUUAGGAGGAACACCAGUUGCGAAGGCGGUCUGCUGGACAGCAACUGACGCUGAGGCGCGAAAGCGUGGGGAGCAAACAGGAUUAGAUACCCCUGUAGUC